GUGAUUAACGCGAAGAACCUUACCCACCUUUGACAUGUACGGAAGUCGCUAGAGAUAGCUUCGUGCUCGAAAGAGAGCCGUAACACAGGUGCUGCAUGGCUGUCGUCAGCUCGUGUCGUGAGAUGUUGGGUUAAGUCCCGCAACGAGCGCAACCCUUGUCAUUAGUUGCUACGAAAGGGCACUCUAAUGAGACUGCCGGUGACAAACCGGAGGAAGGUGGGGAUGACGUCAAGUCCUCAUGGCCCUUAUAGGUGGGGCUACACACGUCAUACAAUGGCUGGUACAAAGGGUUGCCAACCCGCGAGGGGGAGCUAAUCCCAUAAAGCCAGUCGUAGUCCGGAUCGCAGUCUGCAACUCGACUGCGUGAAGUCGGAAUCGCUAGUAAUCGUGGAUCAGAAUGUCACGGUGAAUACGUUCCCGGGUCUUGUACACACCGCCCGU
Molecule: ribosomal RNA, 441 nt
Filed under: bacterium enrichment culture DGGE band 10 EBPR-2013
Lineage: Bacteria
Description: bacterial SSU rRNA
Rfam family: Bacterial small subunit ribosomal RNA
Source: RNAcentral